CCUACGGGAGGCAGCAGUGAGGAAUAUUGGUCAAUGGGCGCGAGCCUGAACCAGCCAAGUCGCGUGAGGGAAGACGGUCCUACGGAUUGUAAACCUCUUUUGCCGGGGAGCAACGGGCGCCUCGCGUGGUCCCACUGAGAGUACCCGGAGAAAAAGCAUCGGCUAACUCCGUGCCAGCAGCCGCGGUAAUACGGAGGAUGCGAGCGUUAUCCGGAUUUAUUGGGUUUAAAGGGUGCGUAGGCGGGCUGCAAAGUCAGUGGUAAAAUGUCGGGGCUCAACCCCGGCCUGCCGUUGAAACUGGCUGUCUUGAGUGGGGGAGAAGUAUGCGGAAUGCGGGGUGUAGCGGUGAAAUGCAUAGAUAUAACGAAGAACUCCGAUGGCGAAGGCAGCUUACUGGAGCGUGACUGACGCUGAGGCGCGAAAGCGUGGGGAUCGAACAGGAUUAGAUACCCGAGUAGUC
This 460-nucleotide ribosomal RNA is filed under the name uncultured bacterium. Its description in RNAcentral is "partial 16S ribosomal RNA". It matches the Rfam family "Bacterial small subunit ribosomal RNA", at positions 338 to 795 of the family's 1533-position model. The record is from RNAcentral.